This 2304-nucleotide long non-coding RNA is filed under the name Homo sapiens (human). RNAcentral's name for it is "non-protein coding LINC01124:8". Lineage: Eukaryota; Metazoa; Chordata; Mammalia; Primates; Hominidae. The record is from RNAcentral.
CUCCCGGGCGCGCGGGCGGGGAAGGAGGAAGAGGCGGGCGGGGAACCGCGGGGUGCUCACCGCCCUGGGGCAUUAGGGGUGCGGAACCGCGUUGGAGGCCUCGCGGCCCCGGCUCGCGAGAGCGCACUGCGGAGUGGCCGCCGGAGCUCGGCCUACUCCUCUCCCCCACCCACCUCCCGUCGGACACAGUCUCCACUCUCCAGGCCGCCGGCCGUGGGGGAGCCCCUAAUCAGUUCGCGCCCGGCCUCUCUGCCCGUCUUCCUCACGGGAACCGCACUGCGACCGGGACGGACGGGGUGACCUAUCUCCCGAUGCAGCGUCAGAGGUUAGCCUAACUACAACGGACUCGGAAUCUGGACUGUAUAAGGAUGCCCUCCGCACUUCCAUCAGGGGUCGGGGAUGCGAUGCCUCCGGGCCCACCUUCUCCCACGCCCAGGGCGCGCCUGCGGAAUGAGAAUAUCGUACUCAAGACGGGUGGGCUGCUUGCGACCCAAAUACAAUGGGUCCCUCGCACAUCCUGCACUCGCACGCCCCCUUCUCCCCCAACGAGUUGUCCCCUCUAAAACGCGAGCGGCGACCACACAACUUGGCCGACCCGAUCUGGCUUCUGAAGAUGAGGUCGGCUGCUCUGGGAGCGGAGAAGGGGAGAGAGCUUAGUGGUUUCAUCCGAGGCCUGGCCAACCUGCUCCUUCCCACGCUCCCGUCCAGGAUUUGAGUCUUGGAGAAGCGUGAGACUCGAGGGAGCUCUUCCCUGGAUGCAAGUCGGAGGCCAGGGAGCCCCUUGGCACACACUCGCGCCUGCACAUGCUUGCACCCUCGAAGCGAUCUGGUUCCUUAGCGCUGGUUUCCUUUCCAGCUUCUUUGAGAUCUUCGAAGUCCCCUUUCCCAGGGAGGCGGGCAGGGCCGGGCUAAGCAGGAUGGAAGGCAGCCCUUUUUAUUGAAUCUGAUAGCUACUUUCCCAAAAAGGCCAGAAAAGCCAUUUCACAUCCCCAUAGUUAUGGGAAUUAGCUUUUUCUCCAAGAUGCCCCCAUUAGCCAGUUAAACCAUCAGUGGGCCAACAGGGUCAAAGUUAGUGGCUUGGUGGUUGAAAGCUCGGAGUCCGAACUCUCUGAAGACAUUUUUCCCGCCUUGCCACUUUCUAGUUGGUGACCUUGGCAAGCAAGGUACUCAGCCGCUGUGUACCUCAGUUUUGCGGUUUGUAAAAUGGGAGUUACAAUAGUGCACCCCUUGUAGAGUGGCUAUAGGUUUAAGAGUUAAUAUACGCAAGGUCUUUAGGACGGUGCUGAGCGUACAGAAGGCCCUCUCUUGAGUGGUCGCAGUUGGCUGCUCUCGGCCUCAUCUCCGUUUGUGAAAACCCGUCCAGAUUCCGGUCCUCCCAGGCCCCAGCUGAAGUUUGGAGAGAGGCUUUGCUGAAUAGCUGUUUAGUCUCCCCCAACCCCCUUGGCCCUCGGAGCUCCUGGAAAAAGUUCUUAAUGAAGUAAUGUUGAGAGCGUCCAUUAAAAAUGCAAUGCUGGGAGAUCAAAGUACAAUAUUUAUUUUAGAAAUUUGUUGUAAUCACCAAGAGAUACAGGUAUCAAGGCCAAAUGUCAGUUCCAUUACACAAAGCCCCGCGCCCGGGAAGAGCGUGUGGCUGCUCUGCCAUAAUGUAAAGAGACAUCAAAGACCGAGCGCGCUGCAAAAGUGCGCAGCUGUGGGGGAGAGAGUAAGCCCGGGAGGGCCAGGCGCGCCCCAGACAGCGCGGGGGCUGCGGGGGCGGGGGUCAGUUCAAAGAGGUAUCCGUUGGGGCGCGAGUUCACAGGAGGGAAGAUUUAAUGGGCUUUCUUUUGUUGGUGGGUGUGUUUGCGCACGGUGGACCCAGGAACUCCUAUGUGGUCCUCCUGCCUCGGGGCGGAGAUGGGGGUGGGGUGGGAGCUGCGAAUGUGGAGCAAACUUUAACCGUGGCGGGGGGCGGGGAGGUUGAAUACCAGUCUCCUGGCGGCGGCUGGCACAGCGGAGCUGCUCUCCAAGCAGCGGGGUUCCCAGGCUGGGAAGUUUGCAUUGCCGUUUCUUUGCGGGCGGGCGGCGAGCGCCGACUGCAUGCCACCUGCGAGAGGAAGAGGCCGUCCUCCUGACAUCUUAAUCUAUCUGCCAACGCUACAUGCCGUCAAGCCAAGGAAGAAUUUCCUUCUCACUGUUGCUUCUCUGACCAAGGAAGACAUAAGCACAACCAAUCACCAGACUGAUGAAAUUCCUUCCAGUUUCAGAAAAGAUUAUCACCAAUCCCUACAUUAUAAAAUUCAUACUAAUAAAGCACAAACAUUGAAU